CAUGCAAGUCGAGGGGCAGCAUGAUUGAAGCUUGCUUCAAUUGAUGGCGACCGGCGCACGGGUGAGUAACGCGUAUCCAACCUUCCGUACACUCAGGGAUAGCCUUUCGAAAGAAAGAUUAAUACCUGAUGGUAUGAUGAGAUUGCAUGAUAUCAUCAUUAAAGAUUCAUCGGUGUACGAUGGGGAUGCGUUCCAUUAGGUAGUAGGCGGGGUAACGGCCCACCUAGCCGACGAUGGAUAGGGGUUCUGAGAGGAAGGUCCCCCACAUUGGAACUGAGACACGGUCCAAACUCCUACGGGAGGCAGCAGUGAGGAAUAUUGGUCAAUGGACGAGAGUCUGAACCAGCCAAGUAGCGUGAAGGAUGAAGGUCCUACGGAUUGUAAACUUCUUUUAUAAGGGAAUAAAACCUCCCACGUGUGGGAGCUUGUAUGUACCUUAUGAAUAAGCAUCGGCUAACUCCGUGCCAGCAGCCGCGGUAAUACGGAGGAUGCGAGCGUUAUCCGGAUUUAUUGGGUUUAAAGGGAGCGCAGACGGGUCGUUAAGUCAGCUGUGAAAGUUUGGGGCUCAACCUUAAAAUUGCAGUUGAUACUGGCGUCCUUGAGUGCGGUUGAGGUGUGCGGAAUUCGUGGUGUAGCGGUGAAAUGCUUAGAUAUCACGAAGAACUCCGAUUGCGAAGGCAGCACACUAAGC
RNAcentral lists this ribosomal RNA (691 nucleotides) under uncultured bacterium. RNAcentral describes it as "bacterial SSU rRNA". It matches the Rfam family "Bacterial small subunit ribosomal RNA", at positions 54 to 734 of the family's 1533-position model. The record is from RNAcentral.